Molecule: transfer RNA, 69 nt
Filed under: Ictidomys tridecemlineatus (thirteen-lined ground squirrel)
Lineage: Eukaryota; Metazoa; Chordata; Mammalia; Rodentia; Sciuridae
Description: Spermophilus tridecemlineatus (thirteen-lined ground squirrel) tRNA
Rfam family: tRNA
About the family: Transfer RNA (tRNA) molecules are approximately 80 nucleotides in length. Their secondary structure includes four short double-helical elements and three loops (D, anti-codon, and T loops).
Source: Rfam by way of RNAcentral
GGGGUUGUAGCUCAGUGGUAGAGCGCUUGCCUAGCAGGUGUGAGACACUGAGUUUGAUCCUCAGCACCA